GACGAACGCUGGCGGCGUGCCUAAUACAUGCAAGUAGAACGCUGAAGAGAGGAGCUUACUCUUCUUGGAUGAGUUGCGAACGGGUGAGUAACGCGUAGGUAACCUGCCUUGUAGCGGGGGAUAACUAUUGGAAACGAUAGCUAAUACCGCAUAACAAUGGAUGACACAUGUCAUUUAUUUGAAAGGGGCAAUUGCUCCACUACAAGAUGGACCUGCGUUGUAUUAGCUAGUAGGUGAGGUAAUGGCUCACCUAGGCGACGAUACAUAGCCGACCUGAGAGGGUGAUCGGCCACACUGGGACUGAGACACGGCCCAGACUCCUACGGGAGGCAGCAGUAGGGAAUCUUCGGCAAUGGGGGCAACCCUGACCGAGCAACGCCGCGUGAGUGAAGAAGGUUUUCGGAUCGUAAAGCUCUGUUGUAAGUCAAGAACGGGUGUGAGAGUGGAAAGUUCACACUGUGACGGUAGCUUACCAGAAAAGGACGGCUAACUACGU
Molecule: ribosomal RNA, 496 nt
Filed under: uncultured bacterium
Lineage: Bacteria
Description: partial 16S ribosomal RNA
Rfam family: Bacterial small subunit ribosomal RNA
Source: RNAcentral